UUGGUUCAUAAUCACCCUUUUCUCAAUUAAUCACAUUAACUAAGAAAGCAACUUAAACAAUUGGUUUUUGGAUCCAUAGAAUUGAUUUAAAUGGAACUAAAUGAAAUGAAAAUCCAAUUCUCAAUAAAGAGACAAAACCAUUUUGUUCUCAUCUUAUUUGGGCCAAAAGGGAACUAUGACCACAACAAUUGGGCCACAAUGCAAAUACAAAAACUUUUGGGGUCACUUUGUAAAAACACAAAAGUCCACAACUUCAUGUAAUUACAACUAGAACCCAAAAUUUUAAUAAUGUAAAAACAUCAUUAAAGGAUCAAAACAAUUUAUCCUUUAAAGUUUUUGGGCCUUAACGUAAAAACGUAAACUUUUGGGCCAAAGUGCAAAUACACAAAAGUAUCAAAACUUUAUGUAAUUGCAUAAAAGACCCCAAAAGUACCCCCACUAGGGGGUGGCCGGCCAUUUGAGAAUAUAUGGAAAAUUUUCUAAAAAAUUUUUGCAAGUUGAUUUUGUUAGGUGAGGUUAAAGUUGAUUAGGAUGGUUUUGUAAGAUAUUUUGUCUAACAAUAAAUAUAUUUUGUUAUCCUUCACAAAUAUCCUUCACCUAACAAAAUAAACUAAAACUUUAUGAAAAACAUUAAACUUUUGAAUCAAAAACCCAAACCUUUUUGUUCUUGGCAAGAACUUCAAGAACAUUGAAGAACACUCAUGAAAACUCAUAAGAGCUCCAUGAAUGUUUUCACUCAUUAAAACUCAAAUUUUGACCACUCAAAAGAGGGCUAACAUCCUAGGGUACUUAGGGGUUCCAAAAGUCACCUUAAAAUCAUUUUAACAAGACAAACAUGAACCCAAAAAAUCACCCUUUGGAUUUGGCCGAAUUUCCCAACAUACAUGGCACCAAAUUUUAGUUCCAAUAUUCAUGCUUAAAUGAAAUACAUCUACAACAUUUGAGAUGCUAAAUUUUCUAGCAAAAUUUAUAUUCAAAGCAAGAACAAAGCUUGUAACAUUUACAACAUUUAAAUCACAAAUCAUGAAAAUCACAAAACCCAAAAGGAUUCACCAUAAACUAGGCCUAGGCUCUGAUACCACUUGAAGGAAAAAUUUUGUCCUAGCUAAGAACAAGUAAGAACAUUUGAAUACAUAUGCAUACUAUUAACACUUUAAAGUAGGCAUGCAUUAAAAAACAAUUCAUAAAACCCAUGACUUUCAAAGCCUAGUUUAUGGCGAACCAAAAGACUCUUUAACAACAUUAAAGAGAAGUAAAGAUUUAGAGUUUCUUUACC
RNAcentral lists this long non-coding RNA (1276 nucleotides) under Malus domestica (apple). RNAcentral describes it as "long non-coding RNA (MDOM_LNC018145)". The record is from RNAcentral. Lineage: Eukaryota; Viridiplantae; Streptophyta; Magnoliopsida; Rosales; Rosaceae.